This 255-nucleotide ribosomal RNA is filed under the name uncultured bacterium. RNAcentral's name for it is "partial 16S ribosomal RNA". It matches the Rfam family "Bacterial small subunit ribosomal RNA", at positions 524 to 776 of the family's 1533-position model. The record is from RNAcentral.
GACGUAGGGCGCGAGCGUUGUCCGGAUUUAUUGGGCGUAAAGAGCUCGUAGGCGGCUUGUCGCGUCGAAUGUGAAAACCCACGGCUCAACUGUGGGCUUGCAUUUCGAUACGGGCAGGCGUAGAGUUCGGUAGGGGAGACUGGAAUUCCUGGUGUAGCGGUGAAAUGCGCAGAUAUCAGGAGGAACACCGAUGGCGAAGGCAGGUCUCUGGGCAUUAACUGACGCUGAGGAGCGAAAGCGUGGGGAGCGAACAGG